GACGACCUUGACCAGCCAAAACGCAAAUCCACCCAACUCCCUCGCCGCUCUGCGGCCGGCCAACCCAACCAACUCCCUCGCCGGAGUCGCCGCCGGACAGCCCCUCUGCCUCCCCUGAUUCCCCUAGACGCCGGCUUCAAGGUCCUCGUCAUCUGGAGCGCGCCUGGAGCUGGGCGCCCCCGUCGUGGCGCCUCCCGUCGACGCACCAGUCGUGGGCGACGGCCGCCAUGUCUCCCUCCACCCGCCUCAAUCUCUGCCUCGACGCACCAGUCCUGGGCGACGGCCCAAGCUGCAGCAGCAGCAACAACAGAGGCCGGCGUUAGAGGUGGAGAACCUCCUCCAUAGCGUCCGUGGAGGUGGAGCUCGCCUCGGGGAGACAAGGAGGGACGAGAUGGUGGUCGCCUUCUUGGAGAUGCGGCCGCCGGCGACCUCCUGUACAACCUCCCCGAGCUGUGGCCGCCGGCGACGUCCCCCAUCCGCUGCUGCCGGAGACCACUCCGUCCCUCUGCCGUCGGCCACCUCCCCAACUUGCAGCUGCCCGGUGAGGACUUGGAGGAGGAACACAUUGAGGACCUUGCUUUGUUAGAUCCAUCAUCGUCCACUAACUCCAUGAAAGAUCCUGUUGAAAGUUCAAACUGAACAAAGCUUUGCACCAUGGGUGCUGAGAAGCAAGAGACCAAUGGUGGUAAAAGACAGUGUUGCUGCUGCUGCCGCUGUGUUGGUCGGAACACGUGGCCAGCUCGGUCAGCAGCGUCAGCGGGAUGAGGAUGUCGAGAAUGUGAAGUGCAGCUACAAGCCGCUGGAGCUGGCAUUGACAAGAAAGAAGACAACAUUGUUGGUAGCUGUGACUUGGAGGAGGAACACAUUGAGGACCUUGAUCUUUAAGAUCCAUUAUCGUCCACUAAGGGUGUGUUCGGUUCUAGAACCGAGUGGAAUGGAACGGAACCAUUCCGCACCUAGAGCCAAUUCUUGUGUUCGGUUGUGAAAUGGAACGGAACCGAGUGGUUCCUCGAAAGGGAAUAUUCUCUCCAUAUGCGGAAUGCACCCAUUCCACCAAAUCGGUGGAAUGUGGUGGAAUGGCUGUUAGUUAGCCAGUGUUAAUUACGAAGCACUCCACUAAUCCGGCCGAAAAAUAAUUAGCCAUUGUUAAUUACGAUUUUGAGAUUAACAAGGCCAUUUACCACUAUUAAUUACCAUUUUGAGAUAAAAGAUUAAACUUUAACCUCAUUUAGUUCUACUCUCCAAAUUCCCCCAACCGAAAAAAAUAAUAUUAAUUAUGAUUUUGAGAUUAAAAAGGUCAUUAGGCAUUGUUAAUUACGAUUUUGAGAUUUAAAUUACUAUUUGCCAUUGUUAAUUACGAUUUUGAGACAAAAGUUUAAUUUAACCACAUUCCGUUCUGCUCUCCAAUUCCUCCAACCGAACAAAAAACGGUAUCAUUCCGUUUCUCUUUUUUGUCCAAACCGAACACGGGGAUGGAACCAUUCCAUUCCUCAGGAACGGAACCAUUCCAUUCCAUCCCACGCCAUUCCAGAACCGAACACAUCCUAAGUGAAAGUACUGCUCUUUCUAUUCCCUUUAUUCUGUUAUGAGCACUCAUGCAGUUUAGUUAACGCAGCUGAAAGAGCAGCAUGCAACAAUGUCCUCAACGUCAAGCCGGUAGUUGAAAAGGUAUCCACCACUAUAGCAACAACCUUCUUGUAGAUGGCUCCCACCAUAUCUCAUUCUCCUUUCUCCACUCAAUUUGCUGACACCACCACAACCGCUCAGUGCUGCUCCCCGCUACUCAUCUCACCUCGCUGCUCAGCGGCCGGCCACGCCACCACAUCCACCCAACUCCCUCGCCACUAGACACCCCCACCCACCUAAUCACCUCCGCCCCUGCUUCUGGCGCAUCCGCCAUGCCCAAGAUGUCGGCGUCAAGAACUUCCGCCUUGUGCUUUUCCUCGCCAUCCGGAGCCCUGUUGACCUGGGCUGCUGGCGCCCCUUCGCCCCUUCCUGCCUUGAUGCACCAAUCGCGGGAAACGACACAAGCAGCUGCCGAUAUUGGCGCUGGAGCUGGAGGACUCCUGCACGGCGUCUGCGUCCUGCCUCUGUGGAGCUCGCUGCAGAGAUGCAAGGGGCAGGAGAUGGUCCCCACCUUCAUGGAGAGGCAGCUGCCGUCAGAGACAUUCUGGAAAACCUCCCCGAGCUGCGGGUGCCACCAACGUCCUGCUGCCGGAGACCAUUCCGUCUCGCCGUCUCGGCCACACCCUAAACUUCCAUCUGCCAGGCUUAGUGCUAAUGCUUGCAUGGCCCUGAUGAUUCAGUGGAUUAGUCCACCAAUCUACUGGAGAAAACCACUCAAUGCAACAUUUAUUCUGUUAUGAGCGCUCAUGCAACAUUUUCCAAGUUCCGAGUACUAAAUUUCAAACUGAACAAUUUGCACCCUGGGUGCUGAGAAGCAAGAGACCAAUGGCGGUACAAGACCGUGCUGAUACCGUGUUGGUCGACACAUAUGACCAACUCAACCAUAAACAGCGGCGUCGGUGGGAUGAGGACAUCGAGAAUGUGAAGUGCAGCUGCAAGCUGUUGUAGCUGGCAUGUACAAGAAAGAAGACAACAUUGUUGGUAGUUGUGCGAGUUUAGUGUAUCGCUGCACUACAUCUUCCUAUCAGUUUAGUUAAUGCAGCCGAAAGAGUAGCAUGCAGCGGUGUCCUCGGCAACAUGCCGGUAGUUGAAAUGGUAUCCAGCACUAUGACGACGACCACCUCGUAGUUCGCUCCCACUGCAUCUCUCCCUCAAACCCCUUCCUCCACUCAAUUUGCUGUCACUGGCGGAACCAUUCGGUGCUGCUCACCUCACCUCGCCACUCAGCGGCCGGGCAUCCCACCACACCCACCCAACUCCCUUGCCGUCAAACACCCCCGCUGACCCAAUCCCCUCUGCCCCUGAUUCCCGCACGCCCGCCAUGCCCAAGACGUUGGCUUCAAGUGUUUAAUGAAUGACAUAUCCGGGCGCGGGCCACAUGAGGAUGUUGUGGACAUCUCCUCCCUGACCACCGGUGCCAGGGAGGUCCCAUACAGGAACAUCAAGACCAUUGCUCCCUCUAUGAAUCGACCAGCCAUUUUUCUCCCUGUUGAUGGUCGUCCAAGAUAAGACCUGACGCUCCUGAUCGAUGCCUUAGUUUUCAUACAUCUGGCCACUGGGAGUACUGGGGCAGUAUGGUUGGGCAUAUCUAGGCUGGAUACAUGGGAAUGAGGCGACUUCCAAGGCACAUCGCAACUGUUUCUUGUGUCGUGGAAGUGAACAUUUCUUCUCUGUUGUCCUGUCCUGUCGGUAAUUGGCGAGCCAAGCCUCUUUUGUCAGUGGUAGCUGGACGUGAUGCUGGAGCUGUACAUAGUGCAAUCAGCAGAUUGCGUGGUGCUCGCAAAGGGGGAAGUGGAUUCAGCUCUGAUGCAGCAGCAGGGAGGAGUUGAGCUGCCAGGAGGGAGCUUAUUCUUGAAUCACUUUUCUUGUGAUUAUAAUGUUCCAGUACUGCUGAAUCAAUCUUUGCCUAGGCAGAAGCCAGCGCUACAGGGAUAAGGAAUGUGCAGGAAACUGAAGGCGAUGUGGAGACAAACACAAUGCUUGUCCUGAGCGUCCCUUGAGAUAUACAAGGACAUGCUCCACUCUAAGCUGACGCUGGGAGGUUAGCAGCGGGCGGAAGAGGCGGUCGCCGCUGCUAAUAUGUGGUCCGUCUUGACCCGGUGUGCUCAGGCGGCUCUGCUGUGAUUGUCAUGGCUGGUUUUAUACUGGUUGAGUGAUUUCUUGUAAUAUUAAGCAACCUGAUUGUUCGCAUUUUGUCUUUGGUUGAAGUUGUGAGUCUCCGAUGAAUUAUGUGCUGUUAGAUGUCACAAGUGUUGUGUUCUGUGCACUUCUAUUGUCAAGUGUUUUUUGUGUGAUCGAGAUUUCUCAAAAUAUCUGAAUAUAUCAUGCACAAAUUUCGAAUA
Molecule: non-coding RNA, 3968 nt
Organism: Lolium perenne
Lineage: Eukaryota; Viridiplantae; Streptophyta; Magnoliopsida; Poales; Poaceae
Source: RefSeq, a predicted model, not a curated record